RNAcentral lists this ribosomal RNA (515 nucleotides) under uncultured bacterium. RNAcentral describes it as "partial 16S ribosomal RNA". It matches the Rfam family "Bacterial small subunit ribosomal RNA", at positions 28 to 523 of the family's 1533-position model. The record is from RNAcentral.
GAUGAACGCUGGCGGCGUGCCUAAUACAUGCAAGUCGAGCGAAUGGAUUAAGAGCUUGCUCUUAUGAAGUUAGCGGCGGACGGGUGAGUAACACGUGGGUAACCUGCCCAUAAGACUGGGAUAACUCCGGGAAACCGGGGCUAAUACCGGAUAACAUUUUGAACCGCAUGGUUCGAAAUUGAAAGGCGGCUUCGGCUGUCAAUUAUGGAUGGACCCGCGUCGCAUUAGCUAGUUGGUGAGGUAACGGCUCACCAAGGCAACGAUGCGUAGCCCACCUGAGAGGGUGAUCGGCCACACUGGGACUGAGACACGGCCCAGACUCCUACGGGAGGCAGCAGUAGGGAAGCUUCCGCAAUGGACGAAAGUCUGACGGAGCAACGCCGCGUGAGUGAUGAAGGCUUUCGGGUCGUAAAACUCUGUUGUUAGGGAAGAACAAGUGCUAGUUGAAUAAGCUGGCACCUUGACGGUACCUAACCAGAAAGCCACGGCUAACUACGUGCCAGCCGCCGCUGUAA